CGGGUGAGUAACACGUGGAUAACCUACCUAUAAGACUGGGAUAACUUCGGGAAACCGGAGCUAAUACCGGAUAAUAUAUUGAACCGCAUGGUUCAAUAGUGAAAGACGGUUUUGCUGUCACUUAUAGAUGGAUCCGCGCCGCAUUAGCUAGUUGGUAAGGUAACGGCUUACCAAGGCAACGAUGCGUAGCCGGCCUGAGAGGGUGAUCGGCCACACUGGAACUGAGACACGGUCCAG
RNAcentral lists this ribosomal RNA (237 nucleotides) under uncultured Staphylococcus sp. Its description in RNAcentral is "partial 16S ribosomal RNA". It matches the Rfam family "Bacterial small subunit ribosomal RNA", at positions 103 to 334 of the family's 1533-position model. The record is from RNAcentral. Lineage: Bacteria; Bacillati; Bacillota; Bacilli; Caryophanales; Staphylococcaceae.